This 253-nucleotide ribosomal RNA is filed under the name uncultured bacterium. Its description in RNAcentral is "partial 16S ribosomal RNA". It matches the Rfam family "Bacterial small subunit ribosomal RNA", at positions 524 to 776 of the family's 1533-position model. The record is from RNAcentral.
UACAGAGGUCCCGAGCGUUGUUCGGAUUCAUUGGGCGUAAAGGGUGCGUAGGCGGCGGGGCAAGUCUGAUGUGAAAUCCCGGGGCUCAACCCCGGAACUGCAUUGGAUACUGCCUUGCUUGAGUACUGGAGAGGGAACUGGAAUUUACGGUGUAGCAGUGAAAUGCGUAGAUAUCGUAAGGAAGGCCAGUGGCGAAGGCGAGUCCCUGGACAACUCCUGACACUGAUGCACGAAAGCUAGGGGAGCAAACAGG